Molecule: ribosomal RNA, 209 nt
Filed under: Chloropicon mariensis
Lineage: Eukaryota; Viridiplantae; Chlorophyta; Chloropicophyceae; Chloropicales; Chloropicaceae
Description: partial Bacterial large subunit ribosomal RNA
Rfam family: Bacterial large subunit ribosomal RNA
Source: RNAcentral
GAAAAGCCCCUGAUGGACGAACCAUCGGCCCGUACCGCAAUCCGACACAGGUGUGCUAGGCGAGCAUCCGAAGGCGUUCGGGAGAACCCUCGUGAAGGAACUCGGCAAAAUGACCCCGUACCUUCGGUAUAAGGGGUGCUCAUCCCGCGAGGGGUGAGCCGCAGAGAAUCGGCUCUAGCGACUGUUUAUCAAAAACACAGGACUCUGCC